AGAGUUUGAUCAUGGCUCAGAUUCAACGCUGGCGGCAUGCUUAAUACAUGCAAGUCGAACGGUAACAGAUUCUUCGGAAUGCUGACGAGUGGCGGACGGGUGAGUAAUACAUAGGAAUCUGCCCAUGUAGUGGGGGACAACUUGGGGAAACUCAAGCUAAUACCGCAUAAUUCCUACGGGAUAAAGAGGGCCACUGCUUGCAAGCUCUUGCUACUGGAUGAGCCUAUGUCGGAUUAGUUAGUUGGUAAGGUAAUGGCUUCCCAAGACAGCGAUCCGUAGCUGGUUUGAGAGGAUGAUCAGCCACACUGGGACUGAGACACGGCCCAGACUCCUACGGGAGGCAGCAGUAGGGAGUAUUGGACAAUGGGCGCAAGCCUGAUCCAGCAAUGCCGCGUGUGUGAAGAAGGCCUGCGGGUUGUAAAGCACUUUCAAUUGGGAAGAAAGAUUAUGAGUUAAUACCUUAUAAUAUUGACG
Molecule: ribosomal RNA, 474 nt
Filed under: uncultured bacterium
Lineage: Bacteria
Description: bacterial SSU rRNA
Rfam family: Bacterial small subunit ribosomal RNA
Source: RNAcentral